GAUCUUAUAAGUUUGGUUUCUCUUUGAACUUUCAGAGAAGGGCUUGGAGAGGGGUAUGAUGGGGAUGUUGCUUUUGCAAGUGCUCUUGAAACUUUUGGCGGAGGGCAUAAUGAUCCUAUUUGUGUUGCUUUUGGAGGCCCUGUUAUGAACAAAUUUACUAUUGCUUUGAGAGACAUUGGGACAUACAAGGAAGUUCUUAGGUCACAGGUAGAGCACAUUCUAAAUGAUAGAUUGCUGCAGUUUGUGAACGUGGACCUGCAAGACAUCAAGGAAGCACGAAAACGUUUUGACAAAGCUUCCCUCAUAUAUGACCAGGCACGAGAUAAGUUUCUGUCAUUAAGGAAGAGCACAAGGAUGGAUGUAGCCAAUUCUGUAGAGGAAGAACUAUACAAUGCAAGAUCCUCUUUUGAGCAAGCACGUUUUCACUUGGUUAGUUCUCUUUCUAUUGUCGAGGCCAAGAAAAGAUUUGAGUUUCUUGAGGCUGUUAGUGGGACAAUGGAUGCUCAUAUUCGAUACUUUAAGCAGGGGUACGAACUUUUGCAUCAGCUGGAACCUUUUAUUAACCAGGUCUUAGCUUAUGCACAACAGUCUAGAGAAUGCUCCAACUAUGAGCAAGCAUCUCUUAAUGAAAGGGUGCAAGAAUACGUGAGACAGAUUGAUCGAGAAAGCAAGCACAACUUAAAUGGAGGUCUUGGUUCUCCUAAUGGAGAGGGUCUGCGACUUUUUGCUAGGAGUUCACAAAAAGUGAUAGAGGCAGUUAUGCAAUCUGCUGCAAAGGGGAAGGUUCAAACCAUUCGACAAGGUUAUUUAUCAAAGCGAUCCUCAAAUUUGAGAGGUGAUUGGAAAAGAAGGUUUUUUGUUCUUGAUAGUCAAGGGAUGCUGUAUUAUUACCGCAAACCUUUCAGCUGGGUAUCCGGAACUGGAAGUCAAUCUUCUGUGCAGAGGAAUGUUUCCACUGAAAAUGGACCUGGGUUGCUGAGUCGGUGGCUUUCUUCUCAUUAUCAUGGUGGAGUUCAUGAUGAAAAAUCCGUUGCACGUCACACUGUAAACCUGUUAACAUCAACAAUAAAGGCUGAUGCAGAUCAGUCAGAUUUAAGAUUCUGCUUCAGAAUUAUUUCACCAAUGAAAGUUUACACUUUACAGGCAGAGAAUGCACUGGACCAAAUUGACUGGAUUGAAAAGAUUACAGGAGUGAUUACUUCAUUAUUGAGUUUCCAAACACCUGAAAGACACCUGUCUACUAGUCACAUGGGUGAUAAUCACUCUGUCAGUGACAGUAGCUCAUUGGCGGAUUGUCAUGACAUUGAUCAGACAGAGAUUGAGGAGUUCACAUCUAAUAACAUGACCACUAGAAGUCACUUACAUUCAUCUAAAAAUUCACAACAGCAAGAAUGUGGUGUAAGAAGUGAAAAGCCUAUUGAUGUGUUGAGAAGAGUACCUGGAAAUGACAAAUGUGCUGAUUGUGGUGCGCUUGAACCAGACUGGGCAUCCUUAAACCUUGGUGUUCUCAUGUGCAUUGAAUGUUCUGGCGUUCAUCGUAAUCUUGGUGUACAUAUAUCAAAGGUAAGGUCAUUAACACUUGAUGUCAAAGUUUGGGAGCCAUCUGUCUUAAAUUUGUUUCAGUCACUAGGCAAUAUUUAUGCAAACUCGAUUUGGGAGGAAUUGUUGCAUUCAGGAACUUCUUUUACAGCUGAUGAAAUGUCCAAGGGUUUUUCAAGGUCUGAUAGACAGAAGGUUUUCCAUAUAAGAAAACCAAGUCAUGAUGAUUCUAUUUCUGUUAAGGAGCACUUCAUUCAUGCAAAGUAUGCAGAAAAAAUAUUUAUGCGCACGAUUAAGGACGACAAGAAUCUCCUUUCAGUGGCACAACAGGUGUGGGAAAGUGUCCAUGCCAAUGACAAGAAAGCAGUUUACCACCAAAUUGUCUGCUCAGGAGUAGAUGUCAAUGCCAUCCAUGGGCAAGCAUCAUUCAGUGACUCUUUGGACAAGCCCUUGGCAAGCUAUGUGAAGCCAUUAAAUAAAACUGAAGAUCAGGUCAUAAAGGAUUUUACAGAUGGUUGUUCUCUGCUUCACCUUGCCUGCCUAAAUGCUGACAUGGGCAUGGUAGAGCUACUCCUACAAUAUGGUGCAAACAUCAAUGCUUCUAAUUCGAAAGGUCAGACACCACUGCAUCAAUGCAUCAUUAACAGGAGACCUGCCAUUGCAAAGUUGCUUCUUAUGAGGGGAGCAGAUCCUCAAGCUGUUGACAGAGUAGGAAAUACUGCUUUUCAACUUUUAUCCCAAUCAGCCCUUGAUGACAGUGAGCUUGUUGUUCUAUUAGCAAAGUAAACGAUAACCACUCAAAAUUUAGAGAAUGUAGGAGUCAAAGAGCAGAAUGAAGAGGCAUUUUGUAUCAUAUACAGAAAACCGUCAACCCGGUUUCCUUGAAAAAUGGACCAAACUUUGUUGUUGCAGUGGUUGGCUAGCUAGGCCAUGUAUAAUUUUCUCACCUCUUGAGUGUAUACAAGUUUAGUCUAUGUUAGGUGCCUGCCUUUCAGGUUGCCUCAUUUUCCUACUGGGGCUUUUGGCACGUUUUAAAGUUUCUCACAUGGUUUUAUACAAGCUAUUCAAAUUAUUCUUUCUGAGAGUGAGUUUCAGUUGAAUCAUACUGCAGGAAAUGUGAAAACCACUACAUAAAAUAAACAAGGCUCAUCCCCCAGGAAUUGUGCU
This 2706-nucleotide unclassified non-coding RNA is filed under the name Hevea brasiliensis (rubber tree). The record is from RNAcentral. Lineage: Eukaryota; Viridiplantae; Streptophyta; Magnoliopsida; Malpighiales; Euphorbiaceae.